CGCGUUGGGAGCUCUCCAUAUGGUCGACCUGCAGGCGGCCGCGAAUUCACUAGUGAUUCGUAUUACCGCGGCUGCUGGCACAGAGUUAGCCGGUGCUUAUUCUGCGGGUACCGUCAUAGCAACGAGUUAUUCGCUCGUUACCUUUCUUCCCCACCUAAAGUGCUUUACAACCCGAAGGCCUUCUUCACACACGCGGCAUCGCUGGAUCAGGGUUUCCCCCAUUGUCCAAGAUUCCCCACUGCUGCCUCCCGUAGGAGUCUGGGCCGUGUCUCAGUCCCAGUGUGGCUGGUCAUCCUCUCAGACCAGCUACGGAUCGUCGCCUUGGUAGGCUUUUACCCCACCAACUAGCUAAUCCGACGUAGGCUCACCCCAGAGCGCAAGGCCUUUCGGUCCCCUGCUUUUGAUCUCUCGAUAUCAUGUGGUAUUAGCCCGAGUUUCCUCGGGUUAUCCCACGCUCCAGGACAGAUUCCUACGUGUUACUCACCCGUCCGCCACUCGCCACCCCAUAAAGACCGAAAUCUUUACUGUGCUGCCGUUCGACUUGCAUGUGUUAGGCAUGCCGCCAGCGUUCAAUCUGAGCCAUGAUCAAACUCUAAUCGAAUUCCCGCGGCCGC
Molecule: ribosomal RNA, 614 nt
Filed under: uncultured Gammaproteobacteria bacterium
Lineage: Bacteria; Pseudomonadati; Pseudomonadota; Gammaproteobacteria
Description: partial 16S ribosomal RNA
Source: RNAcentral